UUUAAUUGAAGAGUUUGAUCAUGGCUCAGAUUGAACGCUGGCGGCAGGCCUAACACAUGCAAGUCGAGCGGCAGCGACAACAUUGACCCUUCGGGUGAUUUGUUGGGCGGCGAGCGGCGGACGGGUGAGUAAUGCCUGGGAAUAUGCCCUGAUGUGGGGGAUAACCAUUGGAAACGAUGGCUAAUACCGCAUAAUCUCUUCGGAGCAAAGAGGGGGACCUUCGGGCCUCUCGCGUCAGGAUUAGCCCAGGUGAGAUUAGCUUGUUGGUGAGGUAAGAGCUCACCAAGGCAACGAUC
Molecule: ribosomal RNA, 296 nt
Filed under: Photobacterium lutimaris
Lineage: Bacteria; Pseudomonadati; Pseudomonadota; Gammaproteobacteria; Vibrionales; Vibrionaceae
Description: partial 16S ribosomal RNA
Rfam family: Bacterial small subunit ribosomal RNA
Source: RNAcentral